Callorhinus ursinus (northern fur seal) is the source of this 531-nucleotide non-coding RNA. Lineage: Eukaryota; Metazoa; Chordata; Mammalia; Carnivora; Otariidae. The record is from RefSeq and is a predicted model, not a curated record.
AAUGUGAAUGAAUAUUCUUAGAAAGGUUAAGCUCAGGCUGGAGCCACACUAAAUUUAGGAAGACCUCUGUAAAAAGAGAAAAGACCAGAACUGGAGGCAGGCUGCAUCUGCCCUGUUUUUCUUUCCUAGAGUCAGUGGAUGUGUAGAUGCCGGUGGUUUGGGUUCCUUAAUGUAGGAAGACAGUGUAGCCACCUCUUGGAGGCAGAGGCUGCCCGGGGGCUUGGGAGGAGGGCGUGGAGCAGAGUUACUCAGGUGGCCUUUGAUGGGACUAGUCUUAAUACCAGUUUGGGUUGGUUCAGGCCGAGUCACCAGUGCUGGGACUGACAACGAUGGAUGGCUCCAUCCGUUGAAAAGCCAACUGGGAAGGACCUUUAGAGGUUAUUUAGCCCAACCCUUUCACUUCUUUGGGGGUGGGGUGGGGUGCAACAGUUUUGUUUAGAUAUAAUCCAUGUACCAUAUAAUUCACUUAUUUAAAGUGUAUAAUUCAGUGUUUUUUAUCUAUUCACUGACUUAGGUUUUGAGCACACGGUU